UUGGAUUUGAUCAUUUCUCCUAGCUUGUUGGUGAGUCCUCAUGAUUCGAGGACAGAUGCUAUCUUUGUAGUUUCUUUCAUUGUAUUUCCAUUUUUGGACUAUGUUGUAUGGGCUGUGUCCCUUCUCAUUGGAACUAUUGUAAUAGAUAGCUAUAUUGAGACAAGUCUAGACUUCCGCUUUCCUUUAAGAAAAUUUUAGAC
This 200-nucleotide long non-coding RNA is filed under the name Solanum tuberosum (potato). Its description in RNAcentral is "long non-coding RNA (STUB_LNC011323)". The record is from RNAcentral. Lineage: Eukaryota; Viridiplantae; Streptophyta; Magnoliopsida; Solanales; Solanaceae.